Molecule: non-coding RNA, 148 nt
Filed under: Nomascus leucogenys (northern white-cheeked gibbon)
Lineage: Eukaryota; Metazoa; Chordata; Mammalia; Primates; Hylobatidae
Source: Rfam by way of RNAcentral
GCCGAGCAUGGUGGUGCAUGCCUGUAGUCCCAGCUACUUGCGAAGCUGAGGCAAGAGGAUCACUUGAGCCCAGGAGGUCCAGGCUGCAGUGAGCUACGUUCAUGCCACUGCACUCCAGCCUGGGCAACAAAGUGAGAUCCUGUCUCAA